GCCCCGGUAGUGUAGUGGCCUAUCAUACAGCCCUGUCGAGGCUGUGACCCGGGUUCGAAUCCCGGCCGGGGCG
RNAcentral lists this transfer RNA (73 nucleotides) under Candidatus Altarchaeota archaeon. RNAcentral describes it as "tRNA-Asp". It matches the Rfam family "tRNA". From Rfam's summary of the family: Transfer RNA (tRNA) molecules are approximately 80 nucleotides in length. Their secondary structure includes four short double-helical elements and three loops (D, anti-codon, and T loops). The record is from RNAcentral. Lineage: Archaea; Nanobdellati; Candidatus Altarchaeota.